RNAcentral lists this ribosomal RNA (317 nucleotides) under uncultured soil bacterium. RNAcentral's name for it is "bacterial SSU rRNA". It matches the Rfam family "Bacterial small subunit ribosomal RNA", at positions 26 to 371 of the family's 1533-position model. The record is from RNAcentral.
AGAACGAACGCUGGCGGCAUGCCUAAUACAUGCAAGUCGAACGAACACUUCGGUGUUAGUGGCGCACGGGUGCGUAACGCGUGGGAAUCUGCCCUUGGGUUCGGAAUAACAGUCGGAAACGACUGCUAAUACCGGAUGAUAUCGAAAGAUCAAAGAUUUAUCGCCCAGGGAUGAGCCCGCGUAGGAUUAGCUAGUUGGUGAGGUAAAGGCUCACCAAGGCGACGAUCCUUAGCUGGUCUGAGAGGAUGAUCAGCCACACUGGGACUGAGACACGGCCCAGACUCCUACGGGAGCAGCAGUAGGGAAUAUUGGAACAA